AGGAUUACAGGUGUGAACCACCGUGCCCCGCCCUACUUUCUAUGAAGUAGAAUGGAAGCACAGAGACCACAGAGGCAAGAGCUGGGGAAGGAAAACUGCCCAUGAGAUGAGAUGUGCCUCUCAGCUUCCAAAAUCGGGGAGGGUUGCAAAGGGAUGACACCAUCCACACCAGAACUGCAUGAAUGGCAUCAGGGAUGAUCAGAGACCAUAAAUUCCAGUGAGACCAAUAACACCAUUUCUGGUCCUGCAUGCUCUUCCAAACUUUGCCACUAACUCCUUCAAGAGGUUAGAAAAGGCAACAGAACUUCAUCCUAAUCUCUCUCAAGUUGCCCCCCAUAGAAUCCAGCCAUCGUGCUGUGAGGAAUCCAAGCAGCUACAUAGAAAGGCCACAACUAGAUAUUCCAGCUGUAGUCAGCUGAAGCUCCAGCCAACAGCCAACAUCAACCACCACGCGUGAAAACGAGCAAGCCUUCAGAUGAUUCCGACUCCCAACCUUCAAGCCACCUCAGCUGAAGCCAAGUAGAGCAGAGACUAGCUGUCCCCCAAUGCUCUAAUAUGCAGAUUCAUAAUUAAAGAGAAUGUUAUUGUUCUAA
RNAcentral lists this non-coding RNA (593 nucleotides) under Pongo abelii (Sumatran orangutan). Lineage: Eukaryota; Metazoa; Chordata; Mammalia; Primates; Hominidae. The record is from RNAcentral.